This 65-nucleotide transfer RNA is filed under the name Steromphala umbilicaris. Its description in RNAcentral is "tRNA-Phe". It matches the Rfam family "tRNA". From Rfam's summary of the family: Transfer RNA (tRNA) molecules are approximately 80 nucleotides in length. Lineage: Eukaryota; Metazoa; Mollusca; Gastropoda; Trochida; Trochidae. The record is from RNAcentral.
ACCUUGAUAGCUCAAGUAAGAGCAUGGCGCUGAAGAUGCUAAGGUGGGGAGAUCCCCUCGAGGUA